Molecule: transfer RNA, 84 nt
Filed under: Felis catus (domestic cat)
Lineage: Eukaryota; Metazoa; Chordata; Mammalia; Carnivora; Felidae
Also listed under: 2 other names
Rfam family: tRNA
About the family: Transfer RNA (tRNA) molecules are approximately 80 nucleotides in length. Their secondary structure includes four short double-helical elements and three loops (D, anti-codon, and T loops).
Source: Rfam by way of RNAcentral
GCCUGGUGGCUCAUUUGGUUGAGCGUCUGACUUUGGCUCAGGUCAUGAUCUCACAGUUUGUGAGUUCAAGCCCCACAUCGGGCU